CAACUUUAAAAUGGUGCAUUUGAGUUCACAGGAUAAUACCGCACGAGAUGUCCUGAUUUGUUUACAGAUAUUGUACUCUGGUCCAAAGGUGGAGAAAAGGAAUGGUUCACCAACUUUUGUACUGAUAAAUAAGGAUCCCAAAAUCUGAAUCUGAAUUUGAAACAGACCUUUUUAUAAUCCACUACAGAUUUUCAAUGGGGCUCAUGCCACUGGAUACAGUGCUCCUGCAGCCAAGUUCUACUGGCCCUGGAUGUGUGGCAAGGGGCAUUAUCUUGUCACGUGCAGAAGGGAGCAUGUGGGUUUCGAGAAUGGCACAACACUUGUUCAAGUACUUUUGAGUUCAAUGUGCCAUCACAGACAGUGAGAUGACCAACACCAGCAGCACUCAUGCAUCCCCAAACCAUGAUACUGCCUCCACCAUGCUUGACAAGUGUAUCCAACUGCUGAAGGACUGCAUCUGCACUUCCUGGCUAUCUGGAGGCAGCUGUACCCUUCCUGGCUGAGAAUCUGUAUCUUCAGGCAUGUUUCCUGCGUUAGGUUCCUUGUUUUAGCCAUUUUUGUCUCUGAAGAACUUUCAAAUGUGCUGGCUUUAUAUAGACACCAAGCAUGACAACAACAAUUGUGUCUUUUAAUAAAAAGCAUGACCUUCAAUAGUGGAUCACUGGUACUCAAAAUCUAUUAUGUAUUUUUAUGGAACCAAUCAAUUUUAAGUUCUUAAUGGCUUUUUUAGGAUUUGUUUAGUAUUUUGGCUAUGAUUGUACUAAAAGAAAUUGCACUUGAAGAUCUAAGAGUGAUUUUUAAUGCAAUAUUUCACAAAUGCAUGGGUUGUCCAAAAUCUUUUUUCCACCACUGUAUAAAAUAAAUUGAAUAAGACAGAUGAACAACAGUCAUUUAGUAUCUUAAUUUUUAUUGGAAGAAUUCUCUUCACACAGUGGUGGCAUCUUCAUUAUAUGAGCAUGUUGUGACAAGUUUGACAAUGUUAAUUUUGUUUUAAUCCAGAUAUGCUACUGGAUACCAGCUUCAUAAACAUCUUCAGUCCACCAUCACUGGCCACAA
This is a long non-coding RNA of Lates calcarifer (barramundi perch), 1056 nucleotides long. RefSeq lists it as uncharacterized. The record is from RefSeq and is a predicted model, not a curated record. NCBI's taxonomy places the organism in Eukaryota, Metazoa, Chordata, Actinopteri, Centropomidae. The transcript has 2 exons.